This 743-nucleotide ribosomal RNA is filed under the name Streptomyces sp. LMR352. RNAcentral's name for it is "bacterial SSU rRNA". It matches the Rfam family "Bacterial small subunit ribosomal RNA", at positions 69 to 830 of the family's 1533-position model. Lineage: Bacteria; Bacillati; Actinomycetota; Actinomycetes; Kitasatosporales; Streptomycetaceae. The record is from RNAcentral.
AUGAACCACUUCGGUGGGGAUUAGUGGCGAACGGGUGAGUAACACGUGGGCAAUCUGCCCUUCACUCUGGGACAAGCCCUGGAAACGGGGUCUAAUACCGGAUAACACCUUCCUCCUCCUGGCGGAAGGUUAAAAGCUCCGGCGGUGAAGGAUGAGCCCGCGGCCUAUCAGCUUGUUGGUGAGGUAAUGGCUCACCAAGGCGACGACGGGUAGCCGGCCUGAGAGGGCGACCGGCCACACUGGGACUGAGACACGGCCCAGACUCCUACGGGAGGCAGCAGUGGGGAAUAUUGCACAAUGGGCGAAAGCCUGAUGCAGCGACGCCGCGUGAGGGAUGACGGCCUUCGGGUUGUAAACCUCUUUCAGCAGGGAAGAAGCGAAAGUGACGGUACCUGCAGAAGAAGCGCCGGCUAACUACGUGCCAGCAGCCGCGGUAAUACGUAGGGCGCAAGCGUUGUCCGGAAUUAUUGGGCGUAAAGAGCUCGUAGGCGGCUUGUCACGUCGGGUGUGAAAGCCCGGGGCUUAACCCCGGGUCUGCAUUCGAUACGGGCUAGCUAGAGUGUGGUAGGGGAGAUCGGAAUUCCUGGUGUAGCGGUGAAAUGCGCAGAUAUCAGGAGGAACACGGUGGCGAAGGCGGAUCUCUGGGCCAUUACUGACGCUGAGGAGCGAAAGCGUGGGGAGCGAACAGGAUUAGAUACCCUGGUAGUCCACGCCGUAAACGGUGGGAACUAGGUGUUGGCGAC